AUCGAACAUCAAGAGUUGGGGCGACGCCCAACGCCAACCUGCCAAUCCGGGCAAGGUGGCACUCCGCAAGGAGGAUGUGGCCGAGCCGGCAACUGAAACGGAUCAA
This 106-nucleotide non-coding RNA is filed under the name Sphingopyxis witflariensis. RNAcentral describes it as "SAM-I-IV sequence". It matches the Rfam family "SAM-I/IV (S-adenosyl methionine) riboswitch aptamer". Rfam says of the family: It is found upstream of a number of genes which code for proteins involved in methionine or cysteine biosynthesis. The record is from Rfam by way of RNAcentral. Lineage: Bacteria; Pseudomonadati; Pseudomonadota; Alphaproteobacteria; Sphingomonadales; Sphingopyxidaceae.